This 628-nucleotide ribosomal RNA is filed under the name Escherichia coli. Its description in RNAcentral is "partial 23S ribosomal RNA". It matches the Rfam family "Bacterial large subunit ribosomal RNA", at positions 2232 to 2854 of the family's 2925-position model. Lineage: Bacteria; Pseudomonadati; Pseudomonadota; Gammaproteobacteria; Enterobacterales; Enterobacteriaceae. The record is from RNAcentral.
CCCGUUAUCCGGGUUGCGGACAGUGUCUGGUGGGUAGUUUGACUGGGGCGGUCUCCUCCUAAAGAGUAACGGAGGAGCACGAAGGUUGGCUAAUCCUGGUCGGACAUCAGGAGGUUAGUGCAAUGGCAUAAGCCAGCUUGACUGCGAGCGUGACGGCGCGAGCAGGUGCGAAAGCAGGUCAUAGUGAUCCGGUGGUUCUGAAUGGAAGGGCCAUCGCUCAACGGAUAAAAGGUACUCCGGGGAUAACAGGCUGAUACCGCCCAAGAGUUCAUAUCGACGGCGGUGUUUGGCACCUCGAUGUCGGCUCAUCACAUCCUGGGGCUGAAGUAGGUCCCAAGGGUAUGGCUGUUCGCCAUUUAAAGUGGUACGCGAGCUGGGUUUAGAACGUCGUGAGACAGUUCGGUCCCUAUCUGCCGUGGGCGCUGGAGAACUGAGGGGGGCUGCUCCUAGUACGAGAGGACCGGAGUGGACGCAUCACUGGUGUUCGGGUUGUCAUGCCAAUGGCACUGCCCGGUAGCUAAAUGCGGAAGAGAUAAGUGCUGAAAGCAUCUAAGCACGAAACUUGCCCCGAGAUGAGUUCUCCCUGACUCCCUGAGAGUCCUGAAGGAACGUUGAAGACGACGACGUU